GAUGAACGCUGGCGGCGUGCUUAAUACAUGCAAGUCGAACGGAGACUUUGUAGCAAUACUUAGUCUUAGUGGCGAACGGGUGCGUAACGCGUUGGUGACCUGCCCCGAAGAGGGGGAUAACAGUUCGAAAGGACUGCUAAUACCCCAUGUGGUCAUGAAGGUUAGAGGCUUUAUGACUAAAGCAGUAAUGCGCUUCGGGAGGGACCUGCGUCCCAUCAGCUAGUUGGUAGGGUAACGGCCUACCAAGGCUUCGACGGGUAGGGGACCUGAGAGGGUGGUCCCCCACAUUGGCACUGAAACACGGGCCAAACACCUACGGGUGGCAG
This 326-nucleotide ribosomal RNA is filed under the name uncultured Chloroflexota bacterium. RNAcentral's name for it is "bacterial SSU rRNA". It matches the Rfam family "Bacterial small subunit ribosomal RNA", at positions 28 to 351 of the family's 1533-position model. The record is from RNAcentral. Lineage: Bacteria; Bacillati; Chloroflexota.